GCAUAUCAAUAAGCGGAGGAAAAGAAACCAACAGGGAUUGCCUCAGUAACGGCGAGUGAAGCGGCAACAGCUCAAAUUUGAAAUCUGGCCUCUUCGGGGCCCGAGUUGUAAUUUGUAGAGGAUGUUUCGGGUACCGCCUCGGUUUAAAUUUCUUGGAACAGAAUGUCAUAGAGGGUGAGAAUCCCGUCUUGGACCGGCGGUAGGGCCCAUGUGAAACUCCUUCGACGAGUCGAGUUGUUUGGGAAUGCAGCUCAAAAUGGGUGGUAAAUUUCAUCUAAAGCUAAAUAUUGGCCAGAGACCGAUAGCGCACAAGUAGAGUGAUCGAAAGAUGAAAAGAACUUUGAAAAGAGAGUUAAACAGUAUGUGAAAUUGUUGAAAGGGAAGCGCUGGCAACCAGACUUGAGCGCGGCGGUUCCCCCUUCCUUUUGGUUGGGUUACUCCGCCGUGUCCAGGCCAACAUCGGUUCUGGGGGUCGGUCAAAGGCCCGGGGAAUGUAUCUACUCCUUCGGGGGUAGACUUAUAGCCCCGGGUGUCAUGCGACCACCCGGGACCGAGGAACGCGCUUCGGCUCGGAUGUUGGCGUAAUGGUUGUCAGCGACCCGUCUUGAAACACGGACCAAGGAGUCUAACAUCUAUGCGAGUGUUUGGGUGUCAAACCCGGAACGCGGAAUGAAAGUGAACGGAGGUAGGAAGCCUUUGGGCUGCACUAUCGACCGAUCCUGAUGUCUUCGGAUGGAUUUGAGUAAGAGCAUAGCUGUUGGGACCCGAAAGAUGGUGAACUAUGCCUGAAUAGGGUGAAGCCAGAGGAAACUCUGGUGGAGGCUCGCAGCGGUUCUGACGUGCAAAUCGAUCGUCAAAUUUGGGUAUAGGGGCGAAAGACUAAUCGAACCAUCUGGUAGCUGGUUCCUGCGA
Molecule: ribosomal RNA, 912 nt
Filed under: Exophiala jeanselmei
Lineage: Eukaryota; Fungi; Ascomycota; Eurotiomycetes; Chaetothyriales; Herpotrichiellaceae
Description: LSU rRNA
Rfam family: Eukaryotic large subunit ribosomal RNA
Source: RNAcentral